This 490-nucleotide ribosomal RNA is filed under the name uncultured bacterium. RNAcentral's name for it is "partial 16S ribosomal RNA". It matches the Rfam family "Bacterial small subunit ribosomal RNA", at positions 30 to 507 of the family's 1533-position model. The record is from RNAcentral.
AUUGAACGCUGGCGGCAGGCCUAACACAUGCAAGUCGGACGGUAACAGGAAGAAGCUUGCUUCUUUGCUGACGAGUGGCGGACGGGUGAGUAAUGUCUGGGAAACUGCCUGAUGGAGGGGGAUAACUACUGGAAACGGUAGCUAAUACCGCAUAACGUCGCAAGACCAAAGAGGGGGACCUUCGGGCCUCUUGCCAUCGGAUGUGCCCAGAUGGGAUUAGCUAGUAGGUGGGGUAACGGCUCACCUAGGCGACGACCCCUAGCUGGUCUGAGAGGAUGACCAGCCACACUGGAACUGAGACACGGUCCAGACUCCUACGGGAGGCAGCAGUGGGGAAUAUUGCACAAUGGGCGCAAGCCUGAUGCAGCCAUGCCGCGUGUAUGAAGAAGGCCUUCGGGUUGUAAAGUACUUUCAGCGGGGAGGAAGGGAGUAAAGUUAAUACCUUUGCUCAUUGACGUUACCCGCAGAAGAAGCACCGGCUAACUCCGUG